Molecule: non-coding RNA, 212 nt
Organism: Pelobates cultripes (western spadefoot toad)
Lineage: Eukaryota; Metazoa; Chordata; Amphibia; Anura; Pelobatidae
Source: the annotation of a GenBank genome assembly
GUACAUAAUUCAUUGUUGCACUAUAGAAUAUUGCUAUUUAAUGUAACUUGUGCACUGCAUAAAUGAAUUGGCCACUUGGUAGAGAACAGAUAUCAGAAUGGGUUAAUGCAAAUCAUAUAGGAAUGUGAGAGAGGUCAGAUGGUUAACAUCAUGAAUUGCUCAUUUGAUCAAUCAAGGCUCUGCAAGGUGUAAUAUUUGACAUUUGAGCUGCC